ACGCUCGACACCUACGGGGGGCAGCAGUCGGGAAUAUUGCGCAAUGGAGGAAACUCUGACGCAGUGACGCCGCGUAUAGGAAGAAGGUUUUCGGAUUGUAAACUAUUGUCGUUAGGGAAGAAAAAGGCAGUACCUAAGGAGGAAGCUCCGGCUAACUACGUGCAGCAGCCGNGGUAAUCUGAGGCGGGCUGGCAAGGC
This 198-nucleotide ribosomal RNA is filed under the name uncultured bacterium. RNAcentral's name for it is "partial 16S ribosomal RNA". It matches the Rfam family "Bacterial small subunit ribosomal RNA", at positions 328 to 539 of the family's 1533-position model. The record is from RNAcentral.